This is a long non-coding RNA of Syngnathus acus (greater pipefish), 637 nucleotides long. RefSeq lists it as uncharacterized. The record is from RefSeq and is a predicted model, not a curated record. Lineage: Eukaryota; Metazoa; Chordata; Actinopteri; Syngnathiformes; Syngnathidae. The transcript has 11 exons.
CCGCACGGUCUCAUUCCUCCGCUUCACUUGGUUGAACUGCAUCAGUCUGUUUGACGACUCUCAAAAUGCCGGACGCUACUAAUAUAAAGCGUUUAUGGAGGCCACGUCAAAGACUUGAGUGUUUCAAGAUGAUCCAUUUUGUGCUGGGAUCAGCUACCUGACAGAGGCAUUUUCCUGGCUUGUAUGCAGAUGAAUGCCGAUCCACUGUAUGCUGGAAUCAGCUACUUGACAGAGAUUGCUGAGAGAAGUCAGCUUGUCGACGGCAGGCAACGGAAAACAAGGCAAGUUAAAAGGAGGUGAACUUACCCCUCAAGUAGAUGCACUCAUGCAGCAAUUGAGGCAAAGGUUACCUGUGGGCACUUGCUGAAUGGGCUAAAGAAACUUGGUUUACCUUCAGCCGCCCCUCCUGUCUGCAGCAUAUCUAAAAGGGUUGCCUUUUGAAGUUGGUACAAAGAGGAAGUGUACACUUGCUGAAUGACCAAAGCUUGAUUGAUAUUCAGCCACCACCCCCUUGUCUGCAGCAUAGCUGAAAUGGUUGCCUUUAAGUUGGUACAAAGAGGAAAUGAGCAUUUGCUGAAUGGAAUGAAGACAACCUGAUUUGUUUGUUCUAUGAAUAAAGAAACUUCUAUAACUCCUU